GAGGUGCUGUUGGAUGAAGAUGAUGACCUGUGGAUGACUCUGAGACAUAAACACAUAGCAGAGGUGUCCACGGCUGUGACUAAAUCGCUUAAGGACUUCUCUGCAAGCAAAAAGAUGAACACAGGAGAGAAGACCACCAUGAAAGAGCUCUCCCAAAUGCUUAAAAAG
Long non-coding RNA from Sinocyclocheilus anshuiensis, 168 nucleotides. RefSeq lists it as uncharacterized. The transcript has 3 exons. The record is from RefSeq and is a predicted model, not a curated record. NCBI's taxonomy places the organism in Eukaryota, Metazoa, Chordata, Actinopteri, Cypriniformes, Cyprinidae.